AGAGGGUGCGAGCGUUGUUCGGAAUUACUGGGCGUAAAGCGCGCGCAGGCGGCCUUUUAAGUCUCGUGGUGAAAUGCCGGGGCUCAACCCCGUGCCCGCCGGAGAUACUGGGAGGCUGGAGACGAGUAGAGGCAAGCGGAAUUCCGGGUGUAGCGGUGGAAUGCGUAGAGAUCCGGAAGAACACCGGAGGCGAAGGCGGCUUGCUGGGCUCAUGUCUGACGCUGAGGCGCGAAAGCGUGGGGAGCGAACAGGAUUAGAUACCCUGGUAGUCCACGCCGUAAACGAUGGGCACUAGACGCGGGUGGGAUCGACCCCUUCCGUGUCGCAGCUAACGCGAUAAGUGCCCCGCCUGGGGAGUACGGCCGCAAGGCUG
RNAcentral lists this ribosomal RNA (373 nucleotides) under uncultured bacterium. Its description in RNAcentral is "bacterial SSU rRNA". It matches the Rfam family "Bacterial small subunit ribosomal RNA", at positions 527 to 896 of the family's 1533-position model. The record is from RNAcentral.